Long non-coding RNA from Herpailurus yagouaroundi (jaguarundi), 2702 nucleotides. RefSeq lists it as uncharacterized. The transcript is spliced from 2 exons. The record is from RefSeq and is a predicted model, not a curated record. Lineage: Eukaryota; Metazoa; Chordata; Mammalia; Carnivora; Felidae.
CAAGCCCUGCCUUUUGACAGCUCUGGGAACAGGGGUCUUGGGUAACGGUGAGGUGGGACUUGCGCAGGGCAAGGGUGUGUGGAGAGGAGAAGCAGGAAAUUCCUGGUCUGCCAUGGGGUGGGGCAUUCCUGGGACAGACCAGCUCAGACUUCUCCUGAGGCAGCCCCCAGCCAAGCACACAGAAAUGGUCUUCUGCUGUGAACAGUGAGCAGCUUUCAGCAGCUACAGAAAGAGCUACCCAGUGCCUUGCUCAGCAAAAUUUUGGAGAGAGCACUUGUGGACCUGAGCUAGUGUGGCAAAGGGCUCAGGCAUUAGAGUCAGAAGAACGCAGGUUUGAAUUCCGGCAUUUCCUGUGCAAGAACUUAAGCAAGUAAAUGACAUUUCCCCUCAGCCUUGCUCAGCCUGUUUCCUCGCCUGUGAAAUACCUUCCUCUCCUCUGCGUGUGAGUGAUGGCCUUCAACAAUCUCCAACAGUGGCUGUUUUUAAUAGAUCUCCUUUCACUCUGUUGGUUUGUUUUUCUAUCCUUACCGUGAGUUCAGUACCCAAGAACUGGUUGUCUUGUUUCUGUUUUUAAAAGCAGCUUUGGCAACAAAUAAGUAAACAUGAGUAUGUUCUAUCACUGAGCUUGGCUCUAGAAAACCUUUUUAUGUGUUAAAGCUCAUAAUGACAACAAUGACUGCUAGACUGAUAAAGCAGCAUGUGGAGGACACAGAUGUUAUCAUGACUUCUUAAUGUGUCAGUCCCCAUUUUAUAGCCACUAGAAAGGCACACCAUGAUAUAUACUUUUAUACUGAGAGUUUGGGCUAUCUGCUAUAUGUUGAUUGCACCAGUCAAUGGCUAAGGCCCCAAACUGAUCAUGUUUCUCACUCCUUAAACAUCUCCAGUGACCCCCCCAUUGCCCAAAGGACCGGGCCCACGCUUGGCAGGCAAAACCAUUGCUAAUGUGAUCCAAACAAACUUUUCAGCAGCUUCGUGGCCUGCCUCCCCAACCCUCUCCCUCCUUUCACCGCAUCUAUGCCCAGGAGAAUGGAUUUCACCACUUCCUGAACAUAUCCUGCUCCCUCAUGCUUCUGAGCCUCUGCUUUUACCCUUCUUAUUUUGUUUCUCUGGAGAACAUUCUUCCACAUUCUUCAACAUCCAGCAUUAAUACAUCUCUGUGAAUUAUUCCCCAAUUCCUUCAGGCAGACCUGUGUGUACCGUCUUUUUGCUAAUGGGAAGAGAGCUUUACCUGCCUAUAUUAACUUACAGCAUUCUGUUGAAUACAGAGGCAUCGGUCUACAUUACUGGCCUGGGAAUGAACUCUCCAGUUUCUUCAACUGAUACAUGGGAGUAAUAGUAACCUUAUAGGGCUGUUGAGAGGAUUAGACAUGAAAGUGUGCUACUGAGCAGUGCCAGACACAAAUAAUCGCCCAAUGAAUGAUAACUGUAAUUAUUGGAUCAAAGUGUCCAUGUUCUCUUGACAGACCCCUCUACAUCUAGUAACUCAUGGCUGUGAGACAAACAUCUUGAACAGAGAUUCUAUUGGUGUGGAACCAAUCCAUUUGAGAGUCAGACCAUUGACCUUGAUCCUGUUGGCACCAUGCCCAGCCUAAUUGUAUUUGAAGAUCAGAGGUCAGGUGGGCAUUGCGUAGAACUUCAGAGAAGAGAAACGCCAGCUGCCUACUCUUACAAGCCACAAGCAUGAAAACAGAUCCUUGUGUGUUUACAUUCUGUUUGGACACAGAAGCCGGCUCAGGAUAUCUCAGCUCUAAUCCCGGUUUUCCGGCUCACCAGCGGUGUCACCUUGGGAUUCGAGUUCUCUUUGGAGCUCGGUUGCCAUGGGGACUUUGAUUUGUCUGUUUCUAACAUCUUUGAGCUUCAGAUGUGAUUCUAGACCACCUCCUUGGCAGUCUCAACUGUCUGAAACAGCCACGAACUGGAAAGUAAGCAAAGAUUGGCACGUGUUGGUAUUGCAAAGUUUGGUGCUAGAGCAUGCCUACUUUAUCUUUAGCAGAGCGCCUAAGUCCUCACCUCGAACUCAUUUACUCUGCUUUACACUCAAGUUUAAGAAGCCUGUAUCUGACUUUCCAUGUCAGUAGGGUGGGGGUACACAUAGCACUUGAGAGGCUGCUACAGUUAGGCGUGCCGGCAAGCAUAAAAGUUCAACGUCAUUCAAUUCAAUUCCAUGCAGCUGAGCUGAAGAUUCACGGACUUUCAUCAAUGUCAUCAAGGAAUGACACUGACAAGCCUGAUUCUGAAGAGAGAAGCAGAAAAACUGUAAAAGUGCAGCCAUGUGGGCCACUUAGUGUAGAAAUAAAUAGCUCCUCUCGUGGCAAUGAGUUCUUCAGGAGUGGACAUUGGCCCUGGAGUCAGAAGACUGGGAUGGGAGUGUCAGUUCUUUUUCUUACUAAGUGUGUGUGAUUUUGCUUGAGUCAUGGAAACAGAGGAGCUCCAGGUUUCUUCUCUAUAAAAUGGAAACAAUCGUACCUAGGAUAGCUUCCCUUUACUGAUAUGUGCUGCCGUUAGCCUGUUCGAUUCUCUCAGCAACCUGAGAAUUACAUUUCAUUCUGUAUGUGAGGACACCAAGGCCUAAAGAGAUUAUUGUCUGCCCAACGUCAAAUAAGUAAGAAAACCCAUCUCUAUAUCUAUUUAUACAUGGAGGGAUUGAAACUGUAAAGGUUUUAUAAACAUGUAUUAGAAUACAGCAUGAUAAUUAAUAUUCA